UUAAAUUGAAGAGUUUGAUCAUGGCUCAGAUUGAACGCUGGCGGCAGGCCUAACACAUGCAAGUCGAACGGUAACAGGAAGCAGCUUGCUGCUUCGCUGACGAGUGGCGGACG
This 113-nucleotide ribosomal RNA is filed under the name Escherichia coli. RNAcentral describes it as "partial 16S ribosomal RNA". It matches the Rfam family "Bacterial small subunit ribosomal RNA", at positions 1 to 104 of the family's 1533-position model. Lineage: Bacteria; Pseudomonadati; Pseudomonadota; Gammaproteobacteria; Enterobacterales; Enterobacteriaceae. The record is from RNAcentral. RNAcentral also lists the same sequence under 17 other names.